Long non-coding RNA from Amblyraja radiata (thorny skate), 386 nucleotides. RefSeq lists it as uncharacterized. The transcript is spliced from 3 exons. The record is from RefSeq and is a predicted model, not a curated record. NCBI's taxonomy places the organism in Eukaryota, Metazoa, Chordata, Chondrichthyes, Rajiformes, Rajidae.
AGAACCUAAAAGAAAGGUGGAAGUAGUGACGGAAGUGACUAAGUACGACGCUGUUUUCGAUGGGCAAGCUGUUGAUCCAGUGACCGGAAGGUUGUACAAGUUCAACACCGCGACGGGGGCCAGGAAAUGGAAGGAAGACAAAGAACCAGAGGCGAUAAAAGAGAACACAGCGCCAACGGAGAUUGUCCAGCCUGUAAAACCCCCUUCGCCAAAGUAAAGAGAAAUGAUUACACAGAGUGAGAAGGGGCGUUACAAAUAAGUGUGUUUCUUUGUACUGAAUCAACAUUUGAAUGCUUGUUAGAGAGUUUGGUGAACAAUUUACAAUCAGAAUGUAGAACAUAGAACAAUACAGCACAGGCAGACACAACAUGCUGGAGUAACUCAGC